Non-coding RNA from Nicotiana tabacum (common tobacco), 1160 nucleotides. The record is from RefSeq and is a predicted model, not a curated record. NCBI's taxonomy places the organism in Eukaryota, Viridiplantae, Streptophyta, Magnoliopsida, Solanales, Solanaceae.
GACAGCUGGCGCAUUACUGAUUUAUCUGCGGUACUUCAGUAUGACAGAUAAGUCACUCUCUAUCUCUAUCUAACCAUCUUCUUUGUUUUUCUCUAUCUAAUUUGUAUCUAAUUUCAAAGUACAGAAUUAAAUUUGCUAUGCUUUUUCCUCUCUUCGGUGAGAAUUCCACAACCUUCUUCUUCGCUGUAAGAAAGAAUUGGUGUUUGGCUUGGAUUUUUGUGGUUCAUUAUUUGCUAAAUUGACAUAAUCACAUGGUUCACAGUCACCGCUGAUCUUCGCUCAGAAUUCCUUUGGCUUCUGCUUCUUCGUUGUAACAGAAAAUUAGGGUUUUGUUUGGGGUUUUGUAGUUCAGUAGUUGUUCAAUUGACAUAAUCAUAUGGCUGAAAGCCACUUUGCUGCUAUUCUGGAGAUCAUCCAUUAAUUGAAGUUCUCUGCACCUUCCUAUUCAAUAUGGAUUUUCCCAAUAAGGAAAACUAACAAAUACAGAGGGUGACAAUUGGUUGUCCAUUGAGUUGAGAUUAUGGGUUCAAAAUUUAAUAUCAGUUGAAAUUUUGGUGGUAUUUGGGACCACGCAUAGGGGUUUAAACCAGCAAUGUUCAAUGAUAUUUUUUAUGUACUAAUAUGUAAACUUUUUUAUGGAUAAUCUAAAAAAUAAGUCUUUCUUAUGUAUAAGAGGAAAGAGUAUUGAUAUGCUUCCUCUGAGAUUUCUCUAACAAGCGAAGUUUUGUUUAGUUUAUAAAAAGAUUAGUGAGAAAGCUGAGAUUUUAAUAGUUUGGAGGUCAUUAUGUGCUCAUUGUAUUUUUUUAUUGUUAUCAAGAAAUGUGAAUAUGAGCUUAUUGUCUUUUUUGAUUAAAAAAAAUGUGAAUUCUGAGCUAAGCUAUAUUCACUAUUAGAUUUGACAAUCUAUCCGGCGAUAGAAACUGUGAUGUUUAAUUGUUAGCAUGUAGGAAAGAGCUCAUAUGGAGAAAUUAGGUAAAUACACACAUACAGAGAGAGAGACUUGGUCAUCUUUAAUCUUUUGGGCACUCCACAAUUUUAGCAUAUAUUUAACUGGAAGGCUACAAUGUUACCAUCUUUCAAUAAACUUUGACAAGAACUAACUUGAAACAUGAAGUCAUGGAAAAUCUUCAUAGUUUUUCUUUUUCCUGAGAAGGUAACAU